RNAcentral lists this ribosomal RNA (424 nucleotides) under uncultured Sphingobacteriaceae bacterium. Its description in RNAcentral is "bacterial SSU rRNA". It matches the Rfam family "Bacterial small subunit ribosomal RNA", at positions 355 to 776 of the family's 1533-position model. Lineage: Bacteria; Pseudomonadati; Bacteroidota; Sphingobacteriia; Sphingobacteriales; Sphingobacteriaceae. The record is from RNAcentral.
UAAGGAAUAUUGGUCAAUGGGCGCAAGCCUGAACCAGCCAUGCCGCGUGCAGGAAGACGGCCCUACGGGUUGUAAACUGCUUUUAUACGGGAAUAAACCUCGCUACGUGUAGCGAGUUGAACGUACCGUAAGAAUAAGGAUCGGCUAACUCCGUGCCAGCAGCCGCGGUAAUACGGAGGAUCCAAGCGUUAUCCGGAUUUAUUGGGUUUAAAGGGUGCGUAGGCGGCCUGUUAAGUCAGAGGUGAAAGACGGUAGCUCAACUAUCGCAGUGCCUUUGAUACUGACGGGCUUGAAUACACUAGAGGUAGGCGGAAUGAGACAAGUAGCGGUGAAAUGCAUAGAUAUGUCUCAGAACACCAAUUGCGAAGGCAGCUUACUAUGGUGUCAUUGACGCUGAGGCACGAAAGCGUGGGGAUCAAACAGG